Molecule: ribosomal RNA, 490 nt
Filed under: uncultured bacterium
Lineage: Bacteria
Description: partial 16S ribosomal RNA
Rfam family: Bacterial small subunit ribosomal RNA
Source: RNAcentral
AUUGAACGCUGGCGGCAGGCCUAACACAUGCAAGUCGAACGGUAACAGGAAGAAGCUUGCUUCUUUGCUGACGAGUGGCGGACGGGUGAGUAAUGUCUGGGAAACUGCCUGAUGGAGGGGGAUAACUACUGGAAACGGUAGCUAAUACCGCAUAACGUCGCAAGACCAAAGAGGGGGACCUUCGGGCCUCUUGCCAUCGGAUGUGCCCAGAUGGGAUUAGCUAGUAGGUGGGGUAACGGCUCACCUAGGCGACGAUCCCUAGCUGGUCUGAGAGGAUGACCAGCCACACUGGAACUGAGACACGGUCCAGGCUCCUACGGGAGGCAGCAGUGGGGAAUAUUGCACAAUGGGCGCAAGCCUGAUGCAGCCAUGCCGCGUGUAUGAAGAAGGCCUUCGGGUUGUAAAGUACUUUCAGCGGGGAGGAAGGGGGUAAAGUUAAUACCUUGACUCAUUGACGUUACCCGCAGAAGAAGCACCGGCUAACUCCGUG